RNAcentral lists this ribosomal RNA (515 nucleotides) under uncultured soil bacterium. Its description in RNAcentral is "bacterial SSU rRNA". It matches the Rfam family "Bacterial small subunit ribosomal RNA", at positions 26 to 517 of the family's 1533-position model. The record is from RNAcentral.
AGAGCGAACGCUGGCGGCGUGCCUAACACAUGCAAGUCGAACGUGAACGGCUUCGGCCUAGUAAAGUGGCGUACGGGUGAGUAACGCGUAGGUAAUCUACCCUAAAGUUUGGAAUAACCGGCCGAAAGGCUGGCUAAUACUGGAUAGAGCGACGGAAAUCGUAAACGGUUUUUUCGGGAAAGGGAGGCAGUAAUGCCCCUCGCUUUAGGAUGAGCCUGCGUCUCAUUAGCUAGUUGGUAGGGUAAUGGCCUACCAAGGCUUUGAUGGGUAGCUGGUCUGAGAGGAUGAUCAGCCACACUGGAACUGAAACACGGUCCAGACUCCUACGGGAGGCAGCAGUGGGGAAUCUUGCGCAAUGGACGAAAGUCUGACGCAGCCACGCCGCGUGAGUGAAGAAGGCCUUCGGGUUGUAAAGCUCUGUCGGCGAGACGAACAAAUCUAACAGUUAAAGAAGACUGGUAGAUACUGACGGUACCGCCAAAGGAAGACGACCGGCUAACUUCGUGCCACAGCCG